Pelobates cultripes (western spadefoot toad) is the source of this 580-nucleotide non-coding RNA. Lineage: Eukaryota; Metazoa; Chordata; Amphibia; Anura; Pelobatidae. The record is from the annotation of a GenBank genome assembly.
CAAGAUAACCGCAUACAGGCGAGAAAGAGCGCCUACUCUGGUUCCUCCCUGCCGGUUGACGUAUCAAAACCUACAAGUGUCUGUAUGAAUCUCUACGCCUUACACCAUAUCCAUUGACUGAAGAGGUGAAGGGUGGGAAGCACAGCUUUAAACCCCCCCCAAAAUCUGCGAUUUCUCCCUUGACCAUUACCACGAAACAUGAUGAGGACUAGAUAAGAGCAUCUGUAGUGAUCCCAACUCUUUAGACGGAAGACAAUUCUCAAAUUGAAAAACGGAUCCGCUUCUACCAACUCCCUUUCUUCUAUGAUAGAGGAGAGAAAAACAACAAUGUGUUUGACUUGUUCAUGAGAUCUAGGGACUCUUGAAUAAUUGCUGGUAGGAUUGUCGGCGUCAGAAAUGUUUCCCUCUGUUUGCUCUGCUCUUAAAAAAAAAAAAAAAAAAACCUAUUUACACAACUUUAUUUGCUCCGUAUAUUCUUAGUCUAAAUUGUGUUAAGAUUUUCUUCAAGUGAGACCCAAACAUCUUCUUACCCAAGGGAAGUUCACAAAUUAUCGAUUUUGAUGCGGUAUCAGUUGUCUAU